RNAcentral lists this non-coding RNA (493 nucleotides) under Contracaecum osculatum. Lineage: Eukaryota; Metazoa; Nematoda; Chromadorea; Rhabditida; Anisakidae. The record is from RNAcentral.
UGUAAACUUGUACUCUAAUUGAUGUCGUCCUCAAGUGUUUAUUAUUAAUUUACUUUUAGUUUUUGGGUAAAAUUAGAGAUUUUGUUAAUUGUUAUUUGAGGGCAAAAAAUUUAGUGAGCAAGCCAGAUUAGUACCUGGUUAGAUAAAAGUUAAAAGAGCAGGAGUAAGGUUAUAUUUAAACUAAAAGAAUAUUGGCAGGUUUUUAAAUUAUCUUUGGAGGUUGAAUAGUAAUUGAGAGCCCUCAUUAUCUACUUUUAUUUUAGGCGCAUGUAUGAUCGCUUAUUUUAUUCUUGAGGAUUGUAAUUUUAGUUUAUAACUGUAAAAAUAGAUAUAUACUUGGUCUAUAUUUAAGUUUAUUUUGACCUACAAUAUUAUAUUUUUUGGAUAAUAUUUGUAGUAAAUAUUUGAAAUUGUAAAAGACAGUAAAAUCUUCUUAAUGUAGAUUUGAAGUUUAUUUAAAAACGGUACAAAUCAUCCAUCAAUUGCCCAUAGG